ACGCACCGCACGCCCGGGUUACCCGUAGAUGUCCAAGCACCGCACGCCCGGGUUACCCGUAGAUGUCCAAGCACCGCACGCCCGGGUUACCUGUAGAUGUCCAUGCACCGUACGUCCGGGUUAUCCGUAGAUGUCCAUGCACCACAUGUCCAGAUUAUCCAUAGAUAUCCAUGCACUGCAUGCCCAAGUUACUCGUAGAUAUCCAUGCACUGCAUGUCCAGGUUACCGGUAGAUAUCCAUGCACCACAUAUUCAGAUAUAUUAAAUAUGUGAGAAGGACUUGAUUCAAUCCAUCAUCACUGUGAAACACUGCUCAAAGUGAAUACAUUUGGGAGAGUUAUGAGGACAAAAUGCAUUUACGAACAAAGUGACUAAAAUACAUAGAUGGAUCCUGGACUUCUGUGAAAUCUUCCACUCAAGAAUUCUACCCAGGAGGAUUAGAGAUGGCUUUAUCUCUGUUAUGUAUGUAGAGAUUCCUAUUGUUGGGUAAAUUUUCUAGUCUGUUUUAUGCCAGAUCCUUGUCUCUCAAUUUACCACUCUAAUAGUAUUUUCUCAUUCAGCAUACAUUUAAGAGGAAAAUGAUGUAUAUUUGCAUAUAUUAAAUUACUGUCAUCCUUUCUUAGA
Molecule: long non-coding RNA, 623 nt
Filed under: Homo sapiens (human)
Lineage: Eukaryota; Metazoa; Chordata; Mammalia; Primates; Hominidae
Description: novel transcript
Source: RNAcentral